This 729-nucleotide ribosomal RNA is filed under the name uncultured bacterium. Its description in RNAcentral is "bacterial SSU rRNA". It matches the Rfam family "Bacterial small subunit ribosomal RNA", at positions 104 to 849 of the family's 1533-position model. The record is from RNAcentral.
GGGUGAGUAACGCGUGAGGAACCUGCCUCAAAGAGGGGGACAACAGUUGGAAACGACUGCUAAUACCGCAUAAGCCCACGGCUCGGCAUCGAGCAGAGGGAAAAGGAGCAAUCCGCUUUGAGAUGGCCUCGCGUCCGAUUAGCUAGUUGGUGAGGUAAUGGCCCACCAAGGCGACGAUCGGUAGCCGGACUGAGAGGUUGAACGGCCACAUUGGGACUGAGACACGGCCCAGACUCCUACGGGAGGCAGCAGUGGGGAAUAUUGCACAAUGGGGGAAACCCUGAUGCAGCGACGCCGCGUGGAGGAAGAAGGUCUUCGGAUUGUAAACUCCUGUUGUUGAGGAAGAUAAUGACGGUACUCAACAAGGAAGUGACGGGUAACUACGUGCCAGCAGCCGCGGUAAAACGUAGGUCACAAGCGUUGUCCGGAAUUACUGGGUGUAAAGGGAGCGCAGGCGGGAGAACAAGUUGGAAGUGAAAUCCAUGGGCUCAACCCAUGAACUGCUUUCAAAACUGUUUUUCUUGAGUAGUGCAGAGGUAGGCGGAAUUCCCGGUGUAGCGGUGGAAUGCGUAGAUAUCGGGAGGAACACCAGUGGCGAAGGCGGCCUACUGGGCACCAACUGACGCUGAGGCUCGAAAGUGUGGGUAGCAAACAGGAUUAGAUACCCUGGUAGUCCACACCGUAAACGAUGAUUACUAGGUGUUGGGGGAUUGACCCCUUCAGUGCCGC